RNAcentral lists this long non-coding RNA (1859 nucleotides) under Sarcophilus harrisii (Tasmanian devil). RNAcentral describes it as "lncRNA (ENSSHAG00000027127.1)". The record is from RNAcentral. Lineage: Eukaryota; Metazoa; Chordata; Mammalia; Dasyuromorphia; Dasyuridae.
CUCUUUAUUUGUUUUUACUUUUCAUUAGAGGUUGUCUGAUCACAACAGAAAACUUCUAAACAUAUGGUGACUGAGUGAUCUAAGAUAAAAAAAACACUGGACCAAAUUGUUGGACAUUAGCCAUUUUAGUUUAUAUCUGAGUACUGAGAUUCAAAUUAAUGCAUCAUUUAGUUAAUGUUGAUAUUGCCUUUGAUAGGAAUUUUUCUUUUGACUUCUUAUUUCUAAAUCAUCUGUCUCUCUUAUCAUAAAUUAGAUUCAGAAACAAAGAAGGUAAGAAUUAUAAGACUGCAGAUUUAAAGUCAGGCUCAGAUCUCUUUUAUUAUCAUGAAAAGUGAUCUAUGCUUCCUUUCUUUAUAAUGACCUACAAGGGCUUGGUACACUGCUGCUAUAGUUAGGAAAUUCAGAUACCAGUACAGGAGUAAAAAGUUUGAGUAUUUAACCACUCUCUCUGUAACAAAAAGUAUAUUGUCAUUUUACUCAAAUCAGGAGCAUAAUUAAUAGUGAACGUUUCUGUUGGACCUUAAAUUAAUACCGUUGCUAUCACUAUUUUGAAGUUGUUUCCAUUCAUAGCAAACUUUAUGUUCAUCUUUACUUGAAAAAGGAAAAAAACUUAUGUUUUUUGAUCAGGGAUGCUGCCUUCAUCUUAAGGCUAGGGAGAAUAUUUUUUUUUGUAAGUUGAUGCCCAUUUGUUAAAUUUGAGUGGCAAUUUUUUUUUCCUUUUAAGUAAAGGUAAAAGCAGAAAACUGUUUUUGUUUUAUUUUGGUUUCACUUUUUAAAAAAAAUACACAUUUUAAAAUGCAGAAUUCAAGGAGGCAAUCAGUCUUGGGGCACUGUAGUGAGAGCCAUUCUGUCUAAAUAUUUUAACUAAUGGAAUAGAUUUUUGAGAUCCAUUGUCAUUAAUGUGUGAAGGAUAUACUACAAUCUAAACAACAGUUUUAACAGGUUCAUUUUGUUAUAAGUGCCCACUUUGUUAUCAUGUAUAUAACCCAAUUCCAGAUGUGGAUAAUGUGAUUAAUGAUUCAGCAAGACACUGAUAAUAAUUCAUGAGAUCAGAUUUACCCUCAAAGAUCUCUCCUUAAAUCUUUGAAAUGCAACUAAAAGCCAAUUUGUUUCAAGUUUUUCCUUCUGCAAGACACUUGGAAAUUUGCUAUGGCACACUUUAAAAAUUUCAAGAUGGGAUAGGACAAAGAACUAGUAGGGGUGAAAAAGUGAGGGAUGGAGUGAAAAGGAAACAGUUUCAUUUUUUUUCCCUCAUCUCUGCUCAGUUCAUUUAGAUGAAGAAACUUCUAUGAUAUACUAAGAAGGAGGAUAGGAGGCUUUCUGAUACAGAAGCCACCACACAUUUCUCAAAGAUGUUAGAAUUUACAUUGUUUAGAUCAAAAUAAGCAUUAAUUGUUCAUCAUCCAAUUCCUCUUAGUUUCUCAAAAACCUUGACCCAUACUUCUGAAACUUCUGCUUUGAAUUUCCUUGAGCUAAUUAUAAUCUCAAUUAAACUUUGGAAAAAAAAAAUCAAUCCUAAAGAUGACCCAUAGGAAAGUGCUUUCUCUGAAUUGUUUCCAGAGUAUCUCUCAAAGUUGAGCUGAAGUUCUGACAGAAUUUUCCUCUUCUAAAUAUUAAUUGUGCUAACAUCUACAUCAGACUAAAUUGAAUAAUAGUAAAUGUCUUGUUUUGCUUUUUGAAGCAUAUUCCUUUUUUAAGGCAUAUUGAACACAGAUUGAAAUGUAUAAAACCAUAACUCCUGUGACUGCAAGGAUUAUUCAGUAUUGGAACUUAAUUUCAUGUUUACUAUUGUAACAGAGAUAGUCAUUGUUAGAUAAAAUGUUGGAUAUUUUGUAAAUAUAACUUAAAAUUGUAACCAG